UAGUAACUAUCUACUGUUCAGGC
This 23-nucleotide non-coding RNA is filed under the name Cricetulus griseus (Chinese hamster). The record is from RNAcentral. Lineage: Eukaryota; Metazoa; Chordata; Mammalia; Rodentia; Cricetidae.